RNAcentral lists this ribosomal RNA (253 nucleotides) under uncultured bacterium. RNAcentral's name for it is "partial 16S ribosomal RNA". It matches the Rfam family "Bacterial small subunit ribosomal RNA", at positions 524 to 776 of the family's 1533-position model. The record is from RNAcentral.
UACGUAGGGUGCGAGCGUUGUCCGGAAUUACUGGGCGUAAAGAGCUCGUAGGUGGUUUGUCGCGUUGUCCGUGAAAACUCACAACUCAAUUGUGGGCGUGCGGGCGAUACGGGCAGACUGGAGUACUGCAGGGGAGACUGGAAUUCCUGGUGUAGCGGUGGAAUGCGCAGAUAUCAGGAGGAACACCCGUGGCGAAGGCGGGUCUCUGGGACGGUACUGACGCUGAGACGCGAAAGCGUGGGGAGCGAACAGG